Molecule: transfer RNA, 73 nt
Filed under: Saccoglossus kowalevskii
Lineage: Eukaryota; Metazoa; Hemichordata; Enteropneusta; Harrimaniidae
Description: tRNA-Val
Rfam family: tRNA
About the family: Transfer RNA (tRNA) molecules are approximately 80 nucleotides in length. Their secondary structure includes four short double-helical elements and three loops (D, anti-codon, and T loops).
Source: RNAcentral
GUUUUCGUAGUGUAGUGGUUAUCACGUUUGCCUCACACGCGAAAGACCCCCGGUUCGAACCCGGGCGAAAACA